This 518-nucleotide ribosomal RNA is filed under the name uncultured bacterium. RNAcentral describes it as "bacterial SSU rRNA". It matches the Rfam family "Bacterial small subunit ribosomal RNA", at positions 8 to 518 of the family's 1533-position model. The record is from RNAcentral.
AGAGUUUGAUCCUGGCUCAGGAUGAACGCUAGCUACAGGCUUAACACAUGCAAGUCGAGGGGCAGCAUUGGAGUAGCAAUACUCAGGUGGCGACCGGCGCACGGGUGAGUAACACGUAUCCAACCUGCCGCUUACUCGGGGAUAGCCUUUCGAAAGAAAGAUUAAUACCCGAUGGUAUAAAGAGUUCGCAUGUUCUCUUUAUUAAAGAAUUUCGGUAAGCGAUGGGGAUGCGUUCCAUUAGAUAGUUGGCGGGUAACGGCCCACCAAGUCUACGAUGGAUAGGGGAACUGAGAGGUUGGUCCCCCACACUGGUACUGAGACACGGACCAGACUCCUACGGGAGGCAGCAGUGAGGAAUAUUGGUCAAUGGGCGGGAGCCUGAACCAGCCAAGUCGCGUGAAAAGGAAGAAGGAUCUAUGGUUCGUAAACUUCUUUUGCAGGGGAAUAAAGUGCAGGACGUGUCCUGUUUUGUAUGUACCCUGAGAAUAAGGAUCGGCUAACUCCGUGCCAGCCGCAGC